This 253-nucleotide ribosomal RNA is filed under the name uncultured bacterium. RNAcentral describes it as "partial 16S ribosomal RNA". It matches the Rfam family "Bacterial small subunit ribosomal RNA", at positions 524 to 776 of the family's 1533-position model. The record is from RNAcentral.
UACGUAGGGGGCUAGCGUUGUACGGAUUUAUUGGGCGUAAAGAGCGUGUAGGCGGGCAGGUAGGUAUGGUGUGAAAACUCGAGGCUUAACCUUGAGAUGUCAUCGGAAACCAUUUGGCUAGAGUCCGGAAGAGGAAAGUGGAAUUCCUGGUGUAGCGGUGAAAUGCGCAGAUAUCAGGAAGAACACCAAUGGCGAAAGCAGCUUUCUGGGACGGUACUGACGCUGAGACGCGAAAGCGUGGGGAGCGAACAGG